RNAcentral lists this ribosomal RNA (632 nucleotides) under uncultured bacterium. RNAcentral's name for it is "partial 16S ribosomal RNA". The stretch from base 1 to 550 matches the Rfam family "Bacterial small subunit ribosomal RNA", at positions 338 to 873 of the family's 1533-position model. The record is from RNAcentral.
CCUACGGGAGGCAGCAGUGGGGAAUUUUGGACAAUGGGCGAAAGCCUGAUCCAGCCAUUCCGCGUGAGUGAAGAAGGCCUUCGGGUUGUAAAGCUCUUUCGCAAGGGAAGAAAACUUAGAUACUAAUAUUAUCUGAGGUUGACGGUACCUUGAUAAGAAGCACCGGCUAACUACGUGCCGGCAGCCGCGGUAAUACGUAGGGUGCGAGCGUUAAUCGGAAUUACUGGGCGUAAAGCGUGCGCAGGCGGUUUUGUAAGUCAGAUGUGAAAUCCCCGAGCUCAACUUGGGAACUGCGUUUGAAACUACAAGACUAGAAUAUGUCAGAGGGGGGUAGAAUUCCACGUGUAGCAGUGAAAUGCGUAGAGAUGUGGAGGAAUACCAAUGGCGAAGGCAGCCCCCUGGGAUAAUAUUGACGCUCAUGCACGAAAGCGUGGGGAGCAAACAGGAUUAGUAUACCUCGGUAGGUCCACGCCCUAAACCGAAUGUCUACUAGUUGUUGGUUGGAGUAAAAUACCAUGAGUAACGCAGCUAACGCGUGAAGUAGACCGCCUGGGGAGGUACGGUCGCGAGAGUAACUAACAAUAGUAGUAGUAGACGUGAGAGAGACGACGACGACGACGAGGAGGAGGAGG